UAAGGAAUAUUGGUCAAUGGGGGCAACCCUGAACCAGCCAUGCCGCGUGCAGGAUGACGGCCCUAUGGGUUGUAAACUGCUUUUAUACCAGAGAAAACCCGGGUACGUGUACCCGGUUGAUAGUAUGGUAAGAAUAAGCAUCGGCUAACUUCGUGCCAGCAGCCGCGGUAAGACGAAGGAUGCAAGCGUUAUCCGGAUUCAUUGGGUUUAAAGGGUGCGUAGGCGGACUUGUAAGUCAGUGGUGAAAUCUCUUUGCUUAACAAAGAAACUGCCAUUGAUACUGCAGGUCUAGAGUAUAGAUGACGUUGGCGGAAUAUGACAUGUAGUGGUGAAAUACUUAGAUAUGUCAUAGAACACCGAUUGCGAAGGCAGCUAACGAAACUAUAACUGACGCUGAGGCACGAAAGUGCGGGGAUCAAACAGGAUUAGAUACCCGUGUAGUCC
This 444-nucleotide ribosomal RNA is filed under the name uncultured bacterium. RNAcentral's name for it is "bacterial SSU rRNA". It matches the Rfam family "Bacterial small subunit ribosomal RNA", at positions 355 to 796 of the family's 1533-position model. The record is from RNAcentral.